GCCAGCGGCGAACUGGCAGACGCACUGGUUUCAGGUACCAGCGCCCGUAAGGUAUCCGGGUUCAACUCCCGGCUUCGGCACCA
RNAcentral lists this transfer RNA (83 nucleotides) under Nitrospira sp. RNAcentral's name for it is "tRNA-Leu". Lineage: Bacteria; Pseudomonadati; Nitrospirota; Nitrospiria; Nitrospirales; Nitrospiraceae. The record is from RNAcentral.